RNAcentral lists this ribosomal RNA (253 nucleotides) under uncultured bacterium. Its description in RNAcentral is "partial 16S ribosomal RNA". It matches the Rfam family "Bacterial small subunit ribosomal RNA", at positions 524 to 776 of the family's 1533-position model. The record is from RNAcentral.
UACAGGGGGGGCAAGCGUUGUUCGGAAUUACUGGGCGUAAAGGGCCAGUAGGCGGCCAACUAAGUCCGACGUGAAAUCCCCAGGCUUAACCUGGGAACUGCGUCGGAUACUGGAUGGCUUGAAUUCGGGAGAGGGAUGCAGAAUUCCAGGUGUAGCGGUGAAAUGCGUAGAUAUCUGGAGGAAUACCGGUGGCGAAGGCGGCAUCCUGGACCGAGAUUGACGCUGAACGACGAAAGCUAGGGGAGCAAACGGG